CGAAAGCACCCAAAACACUAGCAGUGCUUCCAAACUUCUUUUGAGUUCCUGAUUUGAUUAAGCACCAGGAACUGUCUCUCCCCAGACAAACAGGCAGUCAUAAGUAUAUGUGCGUGUGCUUGUGUGCGCCUCUGCAUACAUGUGAGACAUCUGGGUUCGAAGGUCGCCUGGAAGCCCAGGCACAGGUGCCCUGGAGAUUGUGAACCCAGGUUAAAGAUCUGCCUGCGAGCUCCCCACAACACUGUCCCUGGAGACCACCCAUGUGGCAGACACUCAAAAUCUGUUGUAUUUGCUAAAUAAAUUAAUAUGGACAAGUUACCCAACAUAUUUGAAUUCGGUUUUCUUAUUCUGAAGUAGGAACAGUCUCUACCUCAACAGACUACAGUAAGAUGACGAGAAAGUAGCUUCUGCAGGUCCUCGGCACGCUACGAGGCUCCUCCUCCCUCCCUCUCAAAUGCCAGGUACCACGUUAGGUUAUAGGCAGAAAACGCGAGCAGCAUACAAUAUAGUCUCUGACUCAGGGAGCUUAAAAUCCCAUUGUGGAGGCAAAAUAAACACGUAAAGCCAAAGCACAACUGUUAAAAACUGUGAAAAAGAAUGAUACAGACACGGGCUCAAAAGGCCAGAGAAGGGAGAGGUGAAUGGAGUUUGGGAGAUUCAGAAAGACUUUCGGGCAGGAGCAGUAUCCCGAAGAUCAGAAAGGAUCUGCGCCAGAGGCAUUCGAGUCUUCUCUCGCGUUGGUACAUACCUCUACUGUGGGCAAGCUCCACAGGCCAGAGGGCCAGCAGGUGUAAGCUUCUGGGACCAAAUUCAACCGUACACAUACACGCUAGGUACAAGACACUCCAUGAAGCCAGAGAUGGAACUGACAUCAAGGAUUUCUAGGAUCUCCUCUGGGUCUAAAAUCUCAUGAUCCUACGGAACUGUCUUGUGGCAAGACUUGAAUUUACAAAACCCUUCUGAUUUCUUCGCUGGGAUUGCCCUUGUUAGCUCUUCGGGUGGUGGCGGUUAUAUUAUAACUUACCCUCCCAUCAUGAACAUAAUACUGUGUCAAUUCGGAACUCAGCCCUGCUAGGAGAAAUAGGAUCUAAUAAAAAGAUCUGGUCACAGUGGACCAUAUUUCUGCAUGGCAACAACUGGCUGGAGAGUAGUGGUGCCAUACCUCACAUUUAGGUGCCUUCCUGGUCCUUUUAUGGAGAAAAACUACAAAGCCAAACAAACUAUAUCUCAGGUGUAGGAAAUAUAAGGCUGGGCUCACAAAUGUGAAAAGC
RNAcentral lists this long non-coding RNA (1271 nucleotides) under Homo sapiens (human). RNAcentral's name for it is "HSALNT0024527". The record is from RNAcentral. Lineage: Eukaryota; Metazoa; Chordata; Mammalia; Primates; Hominidae.